ACCUGAAUGGCUCAGUCGGAAGAGCGUGUGAUUCUUGAUCUUGGGGUCAUGUGUUCAAGCCCCAUUUGGGGUG
This 73-nucleotide transfer RNA is filed under the name Mustela putorius furo (domestic ferret). It matches the Rfam family "tRNA". From Rfam's summary of the family: Transfer RNA (tRNA) molecules are approximately 80 nucleotides in length. Their secondary structure includes four short double-helical elements and three loops (D, anti-codon, and T loops). The record is from Rfam by way of RNAcentral. Lineage: Eukaryota; Metazoa; Chordata; Mammalia; Carnivora; Mustelidae.